GACGUAGGGCGCGAGCGUUGUCCGGAUUUAUUGGGCGUAAAGAGCUCGUAGGCGGCUUGUCGCGUCGACCGUGAAAACUUGGGGCUCAACCCCAAGCCUGCGGUCGAUACGGGCAGGCUAGAGGUCGAUAGGGGUGAGCGGAACUCCAGGUGGAGCGGUGAAAUGCGUAGAUAUCUGGAGGAACACCGGUGGCGAAAGCGGCUCACUGGAUCGAGUCUGACACUGAGGUGCGAAAGCUAGGGUAGCAAACGGG
RNAcentral lists this ribosomal RNA (253 nucleotides) under uncultured bacterium. RNAcentral describes it as "partial 16S ribosomal RNA". It matches the Rfam family "Bacterial small subunit ribosomal RNA", at positions 524 to 776 of the family's 1533-position model. The record is from RNAcentral.